Molecule: long non-coding RNA, 2999 nt
Organism: Drosophila miranda
Lineage: Eukaryota; Metazoa; Arthropoda; Insecta; Diptera; Drosophilidae
Exons: 2
Source: RefSeq, a predicted model, not a curated record
CGAAAAAGAAGAGUUUGAGCUACGAGAGAGAGAGGUUGUGUUUUCGGUGCGCGGCGUAAAUGGAAGCGAAAGAAGAGAAAAUUAUAAAAAAUUUGUGUAAAUUAAAUAUAAGACAAUUGAACGAAAUAAAGUUAUGAUUUACUAAUGAAUCCGUCGACAAUAGUUAUUGCGAGAAAGUAGCUUCAAAUUCGACAAAACCGGGAGGAUUAUACGGGCAUUUGUAUAAGUCCCCCCACAUAAAUGGGGCCCGUCCAGUAAAAUAAAAAAAACAAUAUUGUAAAUCAAUCAUUAACUCGUGUGUACAUUAUUGCCACAAAGCAUAAAACACCCAGGAGAGGCAGAAUUUUGAACGUCCAGAAAUUUCUGCAAAGGAGAGAACGAGACAGCACAUUGAGCCGCACACACACAAAAAUGGCAAUGUAACGACAGGCCUAAAUUUCACGAGAGCGAGUGAGACAGAGCAUGACAGCAAAGGCAAGAAAAAGGGCAGUUACGGCCUUAUCCGUCAAGCUCAUGCAUGUCUGAGCGACGGAAGAACCACAGAGGACAACGAAAAUUAGAGAAGAAGCACAUAAAUAGUGCACAAGAGAUGAUAAAAACUAUGAUGUGAAACUGUAAGAGAGGCAGCGGAACAGAUGGAAAAGAGGCACACAGAGAGUGCAUAAAAGAGUGUUGAAACUUCGAUGUCGAACUGUUAGAGAGAGAAGCAAGGAGUAACAACAAUAUCUAUCGUUGCUGAUAGUCGCGUCUUUACUUCGCUCCGCCUAACAAUUAUUUUUUUCGGUGAUUUAAGAAGAUUUAACUGUCCAUAGUUGAACUCUAAAAAUUAAACAUUAACCUUAAAAAGAAAAGAAAAAAAAAAACACAGAGAGCGGUAUUCACAUACACAAGCUACGGCGUUAUCCAUCAGACGUGUGUAUGGGUGCAGAGAAUCCGGAGAGCAGGCUUCACACACAACGACGACGGCAUCAGCCAGCAGAUGAAAAGAAGAAAAUCAAAGGCUACGCAUACACAGGCUACGGCAUUAUCCAUCAGACGUGUGUAUGGGUGCAGAGCAAAGAAACGACGUAGGAAACAGUUAGCAUAAUAACGAAAGAUGUCAAAGAAAAAAAAUCACAGUAAGAGUAACAGAGAUAAAGUAUAAGAUAUUUAAAGAGUGAGAUAAAACAUAUUAUUCGUAAACAUUAAUCAAAAUCCUUAAACAUUAUUUUAAGUUUAUAUCAUUUAGUUACAAUACUAUGGAGCCAUUUUGUUGCAAAGAAGCUCAGAGGAUCAACAGUUUCACCCAGUAGAGUAUAAGAGUACGAAGACUACGCCAACUGAAGAGAAAUAUCAUUCAUAUGAGUUGGAGGUCCGGCUAUAAUCCAAGCAUUGAAAAAAUGGAGAGUAUACGUAUUGGGGAUGAAGAUACAAAUUGUUACAGAUUGCAACGCUUUUGCAAUGACGAUGAAAAAACCAGAAGCUCCCUUAAGGGUAGCCCGCUGGAGAAUAAAAUAGUCCGCAAAUUGUGGCAUGGUAGAUAUUUAGUCGAAAAAGUAGGAGAAGAGGAGGUACCUAACCGGACUAACACACUGGCAGAGCACAUGAAAAAGUAUCAUUCGGGACGAAUGAGGAUGUCGGAUGGCCGAAUGUAGGAAAGGCUGUAACGCGAGUACCAUUAGCAUAGAGAGAGGAAAUAAUCGAAUAGAAAAGAGGAUCGAGUAAUCGAAAAAGAAGAGUUUGAGCUACGAGAGAGAGAGGUUGUGUUCUCGGUGCGCGGCGUAAAUGGAAGCGAAAGAAGAGAAAAUUAUAAAAAAUUUGUGUAAAUUAAAUAUAAGACGAAUAAACGAAAUAAAGUUAUGAUUCAUUAAUGAAUCCUUCGACAACAGUUAUUGCGAAAGAGUAGCUUCAAAUUCGACACAACCGGGAGGAUUAUAGGCUAUUCACACUGACGACCAUCCACCAUCCAUUUCUGGGAUGUUACGUAAUGGUUUUGCCGUUCGCAAAAGUUCCCAGUUAGUCCACCAUCCUUUUUGGAUGUUCCUAAACCACACGUUUCUAUGCGAUAGUUAGCCGAUGGUUUUCAAAUGCAACUCUGAAUAAUUGUCAUUCACAACGAAAAAAUGGUCUUCACUGCGAAAACGUAAACAAUUAUUGUGACAAAACAAAACAAAAAACAACAACAAUCAUGCCCAAUGGCUCGGAUGCAUUCAAGGCUGGCGAUGAGAUUGAGUGCGGCAUGGCAGAGUCUGCCAGGCUGAAGUUGCAAGUGUGUGGCGAAUAAAUGGCAGACGACUCACAACAUAGAACAAAUAUUUCUAUGCUCUGUAAAUGCUUUAUGUUAUUUAUAAUUAUUCUUUAAUAAUAAGUUUUUUUCGGACAUUAUCGAGUUGGAUCUGGGCGGAUCAUGUAGCUCCAGCACCUUUUCUGCCAACAAGGGCCCCCGCCAAAGCGAACCAAAAAAGACGACACUUCUUGGAUGGCAGAGAUAGCCAGAGACCGACUCGAAGAGCAGAAAGACCUUCACAGGAAGAUGGAAGAACAUGAAAUGAGGCAGGAAAAGAUGGUCGAGGACCUCAUCAACCCGAAAAAAAUUCAAGAAUGAAUUAUUGGAAGUGCUGGGAAAUAUAAAUAAAUAAGUUUAUAAUUUGCAUUAUGGUCUAAACAAUAUUUUGCGAUUGCAGAUCGUAUCUGUUCUGCUGAGUGAUUAAAAUCACCAGAACUGUUGCUGCUAUUGGGCUGUUCGCAUACUUUGCUGUUGAACCACGGCCGAAAUAAUUGCUACAUCUUCAUCAUCCAUUAUAAGCAAAUUUAAUGUACUUUUUAUUGGCAUCAGCUGUUUUUGACGGAUGGUGGCGGUUGGUGCCAGUGUGAAUCGGAGCUUCACAUCUGUCAAAAAAUCUCACCAUUCCCCCGGGAUGGGCUCAGUGUGCAGAGCCUAUUAUACGGAAUUGCUCAUGUGUUGCUCAUGAGUGACUGAAAAAAAAAGAGUUGUUCACUUGAGUGAGCAACUGAACAUG